AGUGAACGCUGGCGGUAGGCUUAACACAUGCAAGUCGAACGGCAGCACAGUAAGAGCUUGCUCUUACGGGUGGCGAGUGGCGGACGGGUGAGGAAUACAUCGGAAUCUACUUUUUCGUGGGGGAUAACGUAGGGAAACUUACGCUAAUACCGCAUACGACCUACGGGUGAAAGCAGGGGAUCUUCGGACCUUGCGCGAGUGAAUGAGCCGAUGUCGGAUUAGCUAGUUGGCGGGGUAAAGGCCCACCAAGGCGACGAUCCGUAGCUGGUCUGAGAGGAUGAUCAGCCACACUGGAACUGAGACACGGUCCAGACUCCUACGGGAGGCAGCAGUGGGGAAUAUUGGACAAUGGGCGCAAGCCUGAUCCAGCCAUACCCCGUGGGUGAAGAAGGCCUUCGGGUUGUAAAGCCCUUUUGUUGGGAAAGAAAAGCAGCAGGUUAAUACCCCGCUGUUCUGACGGUACCCAAAGAAUAAGCACCGGCUAACUUCGUG
Molecule: ribosomal RNA, 492 nt
Filed under: uncultured bacterium
Lineage: Bacteria
Description: partial 16S ribosomal RNA
Rfam family: Bacterial small subunit ribosomal RNA
Source: RNAcentral